RNAcentral lists this long non-coding RNA (214 nucleotides) under Manihot esculenta (cassava). RNAcentral's name for it is "long non-coding RNA (MESC_LNC002400)". The record is from RNAcentral. Lineage: Eukaryota; Viridiplantae; Streptophyta; Magnoliopsida; Malpighiales; Euphorbiaceae.
UGGGGUCUUAGAACCAGAAGGCUGUGCCACUGACUGCUUGACUUUCCCCUCGAUGAUAGCACUAGCCUCCAUCCUCCUAGCCAUAUCCACUAUGGCAUGAAAGCUCUCCCUAUCUGCGGACUGAAUCAAGGAGGAAUACCUGGAGUGAAGUUUCAUGAUAUACCUCCUUGACUUCUUCUGAUCUGUGUCAAGAGUUUGCCCUGCAAACGGCAAC